AACCCAUACGUUAAGUUAAGAAUGUUAAAAUUGUUAAUUUAUUAAAUCUUGAUGAAUAGGCCAAUAGGAUUAAAAAAAAAAAGAAUUAGCGCUUUUGUGCCCUCGUCUGAUAAAUCCAACGAAAUGGAACAUGAAUGAAAGCGAACAGAUACACGAACGAAGCACACAAGCGCGUCCGAUGAUUCAUCUGCCGAGAAGGAAAUAGGAGAACGGGGGCAGCUUAUGCUCCCAGCGACGGGAAAAGGCACCUCUGGUCCUUAGUUUCCUCUGAUCGAGAAGGCUAAUCACGAACGAAGCAGUGACAGGGAAGGCUCGGUGGUGGAAGACCCGUUGAGAAGAAGAGCACCUCCGGUUCCUUAUUGGUUUGUAGAGGGGGAGUAACGAAAGCAGCAAGGGCUGCUUAAGCAGCUCCUGCGCUUCUUCUGUCUCGGAAGGAAGGUGCGAAGGUGGGGAAUCAAAAGGGGCUUCCAGUCUCCGAUGUUCGCUCCGGGGAAACACCCACUUUGGUCGUUUUGCUCUCGGUGGUUGAAAGGGGUGUUUGUGGGAUUGGCACUCAACAGAAGUAGUAUGAGGAGGAGGAGUAUCAUGGCGGCCGGCAGCCUCUUCUUUUGGCUGGUGGUGAACAGGGGGGAAAAGAAGGAGGGCAACGUUGUAGCCAUCGAACAAGAGGAGGUGUAUUGGUAGCUCCAAUCGACAGGAAAGGGGGUACAAGAGAGGUUGUCGCCUCCUUGUUUUCACCGGGAAUCAACACACCUUCGGUGUGUUUCUGAACAGCCAAUGUGAAAAAAAAAUGGGGUCUAGAGAUUUUGUGGGAAUAAGGUGAGAAUGAUUAAUUUCUGCAAUAUGUGAUCUUCACUCAGAUUUUGGAAGACAUUUGAUGGAUUUGUGGUACUAGGAAAAUUUUGAAAGGAUUUUGAGAGUACAAUACAUUCAUUGAUUCAUAUGUGUAUAAGUGUGAUGUAUUGAUUGUGUAUUUUUUUGUAUAAAUAAAAUACAUGAGUUUGUGUGA
Lactuca sativa (garden lettuce) is the source of this 1009-nucleotide long non-coding RNA. RefSeq lists it as uncharacterized. NCBI's taxonomy places the organism in Eukaryota, Viridiplantae, Streptophyta, Magnoliopsida, Asterales, Asteraceae. The record is from RefSeq and is a predicted model, not a curated record.